RNAcentral lists this ribosomal RNA (440 nucleotides) under uncultured bacterium. RNAcentral's name for it is "bacterial SSU rRNA". It matches the Rfam family "Bacterial small subunit ribosomal RNA", at positions 337 to 794 of the family's 1533-position model. The record is from RNAcentral.
UCCUACGGGAGGCAGCAGUGGGGAAUUUUGCGCAAUGGGGGAAACCCUGACGCAGCAACGCCGCGUGGAGGAUGAAGUCCUUCGGGACGUAAACUCCUUUCGAUCGGGACGAUUAUGACGGUACCGGAAGAAGAAGCCCCGGCUAACUUCGUGCCAGCAGCCGCGGUAAUACGAGGGGGGCGAGCGUUGUUCGGAAUUAUUGGGCGUAAAGGGUGCGUAGGCGGUUUGGUAAGUCUCUUGUGAAAUCUAUGGGCUCAACUCAUAGUCUGCAAGGGAAACUGCCGGGCUUGAGUGUGGGAGAGGUGAGUGGAAUUUCCGGUGUAGCGGUGAAAUGCGUAGAUAUCGGAAGGAACACCUGUGGCGAAAGCGGCUCACUGGACCACAACUGACGCUGAUGCACGAAAGCUAGGGGAGCAAACAGGAUUAGAUACCCUGGUAGC